CAGCAGCCGCGGUAAUACGUAGGUGGCGAGCGUUGUCCGGAAUCAUUGGGCGUAAAGCGAGCGCAGGCGGUUAGAUAAGUCUGAAGUUAAAGGCUGUGGCUUAACCAUAGUACGCUUUGGAAACUGUUUAACUUGAGUGCAAGAGGGGAGAGUGGAAUUCCAUGUGUAGCGGUGAAAUGCGUAGAUAUAUGGAGGAACACCGGUGGCGAAAGCGGCUCUCUGGCUUGUAACUGACGCUGAGGCUCGAAAGCGUGGGGCGCAAACAGGAUUAGAUACCCCAGUAGUCCCUGUCUCUUAUACA
This 301-nucleotide ribosomal RNA is filed under the name uncultured bacterium. RNAcentral describes it as "partial 16S ribosomal RNA". It matches the Rfam family "Bacterial small subunit ribosomal RNA", at positions 509 to 808 of the family's 1533-position model. The record is from RNAcentral.